UACUUCCACUGCAGUGUUGUGAUAUGUGAUUCAAACCGGCCAUCAGACAGCCUCUGUAGCAGACGGUGCAUUCCAGGGAAACAGAGGCUUGGUCGCAGUGCUGAAGGGAUGGAUGGUGGUGCAGUAAAAACAUUUGUGUCUUCUGGCCCAAUUGAGCUGAAGAGAGAUGGAUCCCUUCACUUUAUGCCUAGAAGCGGCCAAUUCAAUGUGUGGUCCCUUCUGGGAGCUGCAAUGGGUGUGUGUUCAGUGGUUGUCUUUGUAGCUGGAGUUGUAUAUUUUUGGAAAAUGCCAAAAAGUGUGUAUUGAUAAAUAAAA
Molecule: long non-coding RNA, 315 nt
Organism: Acipenser ruthenus (sterlet)
Lineage: Eukaryota; Metazoa; Chordata; Actinopteri; Acipenseriformes; Acipenseridae
Exons: 3
Source: RefSeq, a predicted model, not a curated record